GGGUCAGUAGGUUGGUCGUGCCACCGGUACGUACUGGACUCACUGAUUCCUCCUUCCUGAAGAACCGUAAUGCCAUUAAUUUGGUGUUGCGGGGAAACAGGACUGUUACUUUGAAAAAAUUAGAGUGUUUAAAGCAAGCUAACGCUUGAAUACAGUAGCAUGGAAUAAUGAAAUAGGACGAUCGAUCCUAUUUUGUUGGUUUCUAGGAUUGACGUA
This 216-nucleotide ribosomal RNA is filed under the name Glomeromycotina sp. RNAcentral describes it as "partial small subunit ribosomal RNA". The stretch from base 40 to 216 matches the Rfam family "Eukaryotic small subunit ribosomal RNA", at positions 686 to 864 of the family's 1831-position model. The record is from RNAcentral. Lineage: Eukaryota; Fungi; Glomeromycota.